This is a long non-coding RNA of Melanotaenia boesemani (Boeseman's rainbowfish), 283 nucleotides long. RefSeq lists it as uncharacterized. The record is from RefSeq and is a predicted model, not a curated record. The transcript has 4 exons. NCBI's taxonomy places the organism in Eukaryota, Metazoa, Chordata, Actinopteri, Atheriniformes, Melanotaeniidae.
GGGUGAUGAGGUGACAGAUAGACAGGGUGAUGGGGUGACAGAUAGACAGGGUGAUAGGGUUGCAGAUGGACAGGGUGAUGAGUUGAAAGAUAGACAUGGUGAUGGGGUGACAGAUACACAGGGUGAUGGGGUGACAGAUAGAGAGGGUGAUGGGGUGGCAGAUAGACAGUGUGAUGAGGUGACAGAUAGACAGGGUGAUGGGCUGACAGAUAGACAUGGUGAUGAGGUGACAUAUAGACAGGGUGAUGGGUUGAUGGGGUAACAGAUAGACAGGGUGAUGGGG